AGUGGGAUAACUGGGUCAAAUGGUGGUUCCAUUCCAAGUUUUCUGAGGAAUAUCCAUACUGCUUUCCAGAGUGGUUGCACCAAUUUGCAGUCCCACUAGCAAU
RNAcentral lists this microRNA precursor (103 nucleotides) under Marmota monax (woodchuck). Lineage: Eukaryota; Metazoa; Chordata; Mammalia; Rodentia; Sciuridae. The record is from RNAcentral.